UGGUGUUAUAUUUAAUAUUGGGUUCAAUUAUUAUACAUUUUGAAUGACACAGCCUAUAAAUUCACCUCUCAUUAAGGAAAGGUGUUAUAAACACAGAAAUAGCCUAACUUUUAUAUUUUAAUACUUUUUUUUUUUUUUUUUGAGACAGGGUCUUGCUCUGUCACUGGCUGGAGUGCAGUGGUGUGAUCUGGGCUCACUGCAGCCUUGACCUCGCAGGCUCAGGUGAUCCUCCCUAGUAGCUGAGGCAGGAGAAUUGCUUGAACUCGGGAGGCGGA
This 275-nucleotide non-coding RNA is filed under the name Pan troglodytes (chimpanzee). The record is from RNAcentral. Lineage: Eukaryota; Metazoa; Chordata; Mammalia; Primates; Hominidae.